UACGUAGGGGGCGAGCGUUGUCCGGAUUUAUUGGGCGUAAAGAGCGUGUAGGCGGCCAGGUAGGUCUGCUGUGAAAACUCGAGGCUCAACCUCGAGACGUCGGCGGAAACCAUCUGGCUAGAGUCCGGAAGAGGCGAGUGGAAUUCCCGGUGUAGCGGUGAAAUGCGCAGAUAUCGGGAGGAACACCAAUGGCGAAGGCAGCCCCCUGGGUCAAGAUUGACGCUCAUGCACGAAAGCGUGGGGAGCAAACAGG
RNAcentral lists this ribosomal RNA (253 nucleotides) under uncultured bacterium. Its description in RNAcentral is "partial 16S ribosomal RNA". It matches the Rfam family "Bacterial small subunit ribosomal RNA", at positions 524 to 776 of the family's 1533-position model. The record is from RNAcentral.